This 497-nucleotide ribosomal RNA is filed under the name uncultured bacterium. RNAcentral describes it as "partial 16S ribosomal RNA". It matches the Rfam family "Bacterial small subunit ribosomal RNA", at positions 28 to 507 of the family's 1533-position model. The record is from RNAcentral.
GAUGAACGCUGGCGGCGUGCCUAAUACAUGCAAGUCGAGCGAACAGACGAGGAGCUUGCUCCUCUGACGUUAGCGGCGGACGGGUGAGUAACACGUGGAUAACCUACCUAUAAGACUGGGAUAACUUCGGGAAACCGGAGCUAAUACCGGAUAAUAUAUUGAACCGCAUGGUUCAAUAGUGAAAGACGGUUUUGCUGUCACUUAUAGAUGGAUCCGCGCCGCAUUAGCUAGUUGGUAAGGUAACGGCUUACCAAGGCAACGAUGCGUAGCCGACCUGAGAGGGUGGUCGGCCACACUAGAACUUAGACACGGUCCAGACUCCUACGGGAGGCAGCAGUAGGGAAUCUUCCGCAAUGGGCGAGAGCUUGACGGAGCAACGCCGCGUGAGUGAUGAAGGUCUUCGGAUCGUAAAACUCUGUUAUUAGGGAAGAACAAAUGUGUAAGUAACUAUGCACGUCUUGACGGUACCUAAUCAGAAAGCCACGGCUAACUACGUG